UGCACGGGGAAGUUGGUCUUGGCAUUGCGUCCGCUCAUCAGAACGGCAGCCUCGUCAUAGGCCCGUGCGGCCUCUUCAGCGGUUUCAAAGAAGCUCAAAAUGAUUUAGAUCUGAACAUAAGAUUGCUGAUCGGCGAGGGAAAUGGCAAGGGUCAGUAUGAUAGAAGGGCAGUUGUGCAUUAUUAGUACAUAUGUUGCGUUUUUUCUUGUAAGGACAAAGUUGCCGAAAGGACAAAUCUGAGGGACAAGGCAUUAAAGCCGGCCUUAAUUAAGCGCUCUCUUAUUGUUA
Long non-coding RNA from Hordeum vulgare subsp. vulgare (domesticated barley), 288 nucleotides. RefSeq lists it as uncharacterized. The record is from RefSeq and is a predicted model, not a curated record. The transcript has 2 exons. Lineage: Eukaryota; Viridiplantae; Streptophyta; Magnoliopsida; Poales; Poaceae.